Trematomus bernacchii (emerald rockcod) is the source of this 782-nucleotide long non-coding RNA. RefSeq lists it as uncharacterized. NCBI's taxonomy places the organism in Eukaryota, Metazoa, Chordata, Actinopteri, Perciformes, Nototheniidae. The transcript is spliced from 3 exons. The record is from RefSeq and is a predicted model, not a curated record.
CUUGGAGAGAGAUCACAUCAGCUGACACCAGCUUAUGCCGAAAUAACAGAGCAGCAUCACUGACACCGCCUGAACCAGCACCGAUCCAGAAACAGCUGUAGAACCUGAGUAUCUCCAUCCUGCUGAGAAGUCCAGAGCAUCACAACACCAAGAGAAAUACAAGAUGCCUACCGUUCCUCGAGAUUUCGAAAAAGACAAGAACAUAGAAAAGACACUGCAUGGCAAUAAAGACACUGUCUAUCAACAUGACAGAAAUGAUGUACCAUUUGCCAUUACUUUCUAUAGCACACAUGUAAGAGAAUGGCUGGCUGCAAUGAAGGAAAAGUACCCAGAAUUGGAUGAAGUUACAACAGACAAUAAAGUCAGACUCAAGUCGCCUAUCAAGAACGGCGGUACCAUAACUUUAUAUCCUAGUGUAACAGUUGUGGUACAAGGCAAAGACCUGAGGAAGAGGUUUCUGGAAGAUUUUGAAGAAAUGAAACGACAGGCCCAUACAGACGACUUACAAGCAGCAAUGGAUAAUUUGGUAUUAGAAAAUGAGCCUGAGGGAGGUAACCCAACCCACUGAAAAAGAUGAAACAAAAAAAUAAGAUGGAUCAUUAUAAAUAACUGAUUUCUAAGCUUUAUGUGUAUUGGUAAUGUAUCCUCUGAGUGUUAUGACGCUGCAGGCCAUGGAGGAGGUGAGGAGCAGUCUUGUACCCUAUAAUAAACUGAAAAUGAAAUGCUUUUGAGAAAUUAUUAGAAGAAUCAGUUUCUUACACAAUAAAAGCUUGUUUAUUGUU